This 1100-nucleotide long non-coding RNA is filed under the name Eptatretus burgeri (inshore hagfish). RNAcentral's name for it is "lncRNA (ENSEBUG00000017131.1)". Lineage: Eukaryota; Metazoa; Chordata; Myxini; Myxiniformes; Myxinidae. The record is from RNAcentral.
GGGGGGGUAAUAAAGUGAAAUGAAAUGUAAAGGAAGAUUUUAAAAUCUGAUUUCCGUUGAGAAAUCCCAGAAUAAAUAAGAUUCCAUGACGUCACAGAUGGAGAUGUUGAUCCCAUUUUCCGUUACGAGGGUUUCUCCGUUCAUUGUGCGGAGAAGACGAUGACGUUCGGACGUUUACUCAUCAACUCAUUAUUAUUAAUGUGUUUAAUGUUUUACCUGCAAUGGCUUUCUCAACCGAAACGAGGAUUUUGUGAUCCUCUUUGGGAGAGUUUUUUCAAGCUUUUUCCAAACUCCGUCCGUCCUUCCCAGUACCGUGAUGAAUCCUGGUUCUCAAACCUGUCCGAAGUGAUGAAGACCAUGAUCCAAACAUUCCAAAAUCGACAAGUUCUCAGCAUGAACACCAUUUGUACCUGCAUCAUUUUCAGUGCAGUGUGUAUGAUAUGCACUAAUGUGUUGCAGAUGUUAUUUGCCGUACAGCUUCAGCAUGACAGACGUGCGAGGCAUCAUUGCAGAAAAAUCGCAAAACCAUCAGAAAAUAUUCGGUGAAGAAAAGUCGAUCGGUGCAGCCUCUGCUCACUGUGGGGCACGUGAUCCAAGACAAUGGAGCUUCCAAUCGAGCUGGUUGCUUGGCAACGCUAACACGCACCUCCUCUGUCUAUUUUUAUCUUUUGUCGCACUUGCAUAAAAAAAAAAUUUCCUGUAGCUGUAAGCCUUUUAAUGGAGAGCUUAUUCAAAUCACUGAUGGAUCCCUGCCCUUCGACAAGGUCAGAGACUGGGACAUUAAAAUGAGCUCCGUCCAACCGUCUGUCAAUCGUUUGUCCAUUUACUUUUGUGUACAUGAUAUUCAACAAAAAUAGUUGAACAUUUACCUUUCAUGUUGCAGAUAUCUACUCCUCAUAACAUCAUCUCAAUACGAUUAAAUAAUGGCUCUAAUCUGUCACCAUGGCAACAAUCUUGGUAACUUGGCUUGUGCAUGUGAUAUUUCAAAAACCAUUCAAGAUGUAGCUUUAGAGGAGGGGAGGGGUGGGGGAAAGAUAGAGGAGAGAGGAGAGAGAGGGAGGGAGGAGGGGUGAGUAGUGGGCGGAGCUCGGGGGGGGGGG